GACGAACGCUGGCGGCGUGCUUAACACAUGCAAGUCGAACGGAAAGGCCCCCAUCUUGGUGGGGGUGCUCGAGUGGCGAACGGGUGAGUAACACGUGGGUGAUCUGCCCUGUACUUCGGGAUAAGCUUGGGAAACUGGGUCUAAUACCGGAUAGGACCAUGGUUUAGUGUCUCAUGGUGGAAAGAUUAUUGUUUUGGUGCAGGAUGAGCUCGCGGCCUAUCAGCUUGUUGGUGGGGUAAUGGCCUACCAAGGCGUCGACGGGUAGCCGGCCUGAGAGGGUGGACGGCCACAUUGGGACUGAGAUACGGCCCAGACUCCUACGGGAGGCAGCAGUGGGGAAUAUUGCACAAUGGGCGCAAGCCUGAUGCAGCGACGCCGCGUGGGGGAUGACGGCCGUCGGGUUGUAAACUCCUUUCGUUAGGGACGAAGCCGCACUUUUUUUGGGUGUGGUGACGGUACCUUUGUUAAGAAGCACCGGCUAACUACGUG
This 489-nucleotide ribosomal RNA is filed under the name uncultured bacterium. RNAcentral describes it as "partial 16S ribosomal RNA". It matches the Rfam family "Bacterial small subunit ribosomal RNA", at positions 28 to 507 of the family's 1533-position model. The record is from RNAcentral.